RNAcentral lists this long non-coding RNA (721 nucleotides) under Zonotrichia albicollis (white-throated sparrow). Its description in RNAcentral is "lncRNA (ENSZALG00000002647.1)". Lineage: Eukaryota; Metazoa; Chordata; Aves; Passeriformes; Passerellidae. The record is from RNAcentral.
UGUGUCAUACCUGGACAGCCCUGGGCUCCCCAGCUCACACAGCUCUGCCUUCCAAGUGAAAUCUUGCUGAAGACAGCAAGCACUUUGGCUUCUAUAGACUUCAUGGAGAUGAGAAUUCACCCAAGUGAGGCCUGACAAAACACCAAAAUUACCUUGAGGCCACUCAGCCAUUAUUUUUCCUGGGGGAGCUCUGCCUGCUGCUGCUCAUCUCCCAGCGCUGCCUGGAGCGUGGGAUGCUGGGGAAGAGCAGAGGAUGCUGCACUGCAAAGCCGCUCCGAUGCUGCCGCCUGCAGCCGCGCCGCAGCAGCUCAGGGAGCUCCAUCCUGGGCUGCACACUCAGGGUCUGUCUGCACAUCCCUCCUGGAAACACCUCCAAGCUGCUACGUGAAGGAAUUCCAGGUUCAUUUUCCCUUCUCUGAUUGAGAGCUACAAAACUUUCAGGGAGCACUGAACAAGCCUGAAAUCCCUGCUGGGACAGAACCCAGCUUUGGUCCAGCCUGCUUUGGUUCCAGUGGGAUGUUUUUGAUGGAGUGCAUCCUAGCAUGUGCUGCAAAUCCUGCUCACAGGAGGGCAGGGAAUUGAUGCUGCCUGCAUCACUUAGAAAAUGGCUCUGGACAUGAGCUGGAUGGAAUAAGUAUUGCAGAUUUUCUUAUUUUUGCAUAAUUGAUGAUUAUUGAUGAUAAAUGGCGAAUGGUUCUUUGCCAUUUUUCAGUGGUGUGGG